GCGAGAGUAGCUCAGUUGGUAGAGCGCAACCUUGCCAAGGUUGAGGUCGCGAGUUCGAGACUCGUCUCUCGCUCCA
This 76-nucleotide transfer RNA is filed under the name Bacteroidia bacterium. RNAcentral's name for it is "tRNA-Gly". It matches the Rfam family "tRNA". Rfam says of the family: Transfer RNA (tRNA) molecules are approximately 80 nucleotides in length. Their secondary structure includes four short double-helical elements and three loops (D, anti-codon, and T loops). Further hydrogen bonds mediate the characteristic L-shaped molecular structure. tRNAs have two regions of fundamental functional importance: the anti-codon, which is responsible for specific mRNA codon recognition, and the 3' end, to which the tRNAs corresponding amino acid is attached (by aminoacyl-tRNA synthetases). tRNAs cope with the degeneracy of the genetic code in two manners: having more than one tRNA (with a specific anti-codon) for a particular amino acid; and 'wobble' base-pairing, i.e. permitting non-standard base-pairing at the 3rd anti-codon position. Lineage: Bacteria; Pseudomonadati; Bacteroidota; Bacteroidia. RNAcentral also lists the same sequence under 1 other name. The record is from RNAcentral.